ACUCAAAUGAAUAGACGGGGGCUCACACAAGCGGUGGAGCAUGUGGCUCAAUUCGAAGCAACGCGAAGAACCUUAUCCUAGGCUUGACAUGCAUGGAUUAGUCUUGAGAAACCAAGAUGACACUCUCGUAGUGGAACAUGCACAGGUGCUGCAUGGCUGUCGUCAGCUCGUGCUGUGAAGUGUCGGGUUAAGUCCCUUAACGAGCGAAACCCCUGUCGCUAGUUGCUACCAGGUAAUGCUGGGCACUCUAGCGAGACUGCCGGUGUUAAACCGGAGGAAGGUGGGGAUGACGUCAAGUCCUCAUGGCCUUUAUGCCUAGGGCUGCACACGUGCUACAAUGGCGCGAACAGAACGAUGCAAGACCGCAAGGUGGAGCAAAUCGCUUAAAUCGCGCCCCAGUUCGGAUUGAGGGCUGCAACCCGCCCUCAUGAAGUCGGAAUCGCUAGUAAUCGCGGAUCAGCUACGCCGCGGUGAAUAUGUUCCUGAGCCUUGCACACACCGCCCGU
Molecule: ribosomal RNA, 506 nt
Filed under: uncultured bacterium
Lineage: Bacteria
Description: partial 16S ribosomal RNA
Rfam family: Bacterial small subunit ribosomal RNA
Source: RNAcentral